CCCUUAGAUGUUCUGGGCCGCACGCGCGCUACACUGAUGCGUUCAACAAGUUUCCUUGGCCGAGAGGCCUGGGCAAUCUUCUUAAUAUGUAUCGUGAUAGGGAUAGAUUAUUGCAAUUAUUAAUCUUGAACGAGGAAUUCCUAGUAAACGCAGAUCAUCAAUCUGCGUUGAUUACGUCCCUGCCCUUUGUACACACCGCCCGUCGCACCUACCGAUUGGAUGUUCCGGUGAAGCCUCGGGAUGAGGACUGGUGCCUUUAUUGGCAUGAGUUGUUCAGAACUUGUCUAAACCUUAUCAUCUAGAGGAAGGUGAAGUCGUAACA
RNAcentral lists this ribosomal RNA (322 nucleotides) under uncultured eukaryote. RNAcentral's name for it is "partial 18S ribosomal RNA". It matches the Rfam family "Eukaryotic small subunit ribosomal RNA", at positions 1470 to 1796 of the family's 1831-position model. The record is from RNAcentral.